UUAAGCAAUCAAAGAUUGGAUACUAUGACGGUAUAAAUGUGGCACAAAGAUUGGAUACGAAUGCAACCUCGCAAAUGCACCUGGCCCCAAGACUGAGCUGCAUCCACCACCUAAGUAACGUAAGAAUUUCUUCCCUUCAACUUCUACAAAUUCAUGCCCAAUUGAUAACCAAUGGCUUCAAAUCUCCCUCCCCUUACGCCAAGCUAAUCACCCAUUUAUGCAAGAAAUCUUCCUCAGAAUCCAUCGCCCACGCCCAUUUGAUCUUCCGGCACCACCAAUACUCUCCAAAUCUCUUCCUCUUCAACACUCUCAUAAGAUGCGCUCCACCUCAUCAUUCCAUCUCCAUUUUCGCCACUUGGGUCUCCACCUCCCACUUCGAAUUUGACGAUUUCACUUUCAUUUUCGUGCUUGGAGCUUGCGCGCGAGCCCCAUCUGUUUCUACGUUAAUGAUUGGUAGGCAAAUUCAUACUCAUAUUCUUAAACGUGGGAUUGUUUCGAACAUUUGGGUGCAGACUACUAUGAUACAUUUUUAUUCCAUUAAUAAAGAUGUGGGUAGUGCGCGGAAGUUGUUUGAUGAAAUGUCUUUGAGAAAUAGUGUUACUUGGAAUGCGAUGAUUGCAGGGUACUGCUCACAAGGUGGUAAGGUUUCUCAGAAAUAUGCCCGAGAUGCGUUGGAAUUGUUUCGGGGGAUGUUGGUUGAAUCAACGAAUUUUGAGGUGAAACCAACGGAUACUACAAUGGUUUGCAUUCUUUCAGCUGCAUCUCAACUAGGUAUGCUUGAAACCGGUUCUUGUGUUCAUGCUUAUAUCAAGAAGACAGUUGAUUCCCCUGAAAAAGAUGUGUUUAUUGGCACUGGCUUGGUUAAUAUGUACUCAAAAUGUGGGCUUCUUAACAGUGCCUCGUCAGUUUUUAAGCAGAUGAAGCAGAAGAACGUUUUGACAUGGACAUCCAUGGCGACAGGACUGGCUGUUCAUGGAAGGGGUAAAGAAGCAUUGGAGCUAUUGGAUGCAAUGGGAGCUCAUGGUGUAAAGCCAAACGCAGUAACUUUCACGAGUUUGCUUUCUGCUUGCUGUCAUGGAGGGCUUAUUGAAGAGGGGCUCCAUUUGUUUCGUGUCAUGGAGAGGAAGUUUGGUGUUGUGCCUCAAAUGCAGCAUUAUGGCUGCAUUGUUGACCUUCUUGGGCGCUCUGGGCACUUGAGAGAGGCAUACAAAUUGAUACUCGAAAUGCCAAUGGAACCUGAUGGUGUUUUAUGGAGGAGUUUGCUGAGUUCUUGUAUGCUCCAUGGUGAUGUUGAAAUGGGAGAGAGAGUGGGUAAGUUGCUUGUUGAGAGACAGGGAGGGGAGAGUUUUGAUGACGAAUGGUGUGUUGGAAGUGAGGACUUUGUAGCUUUGUCAAAUGUUUAUGCUUCUGUCGAAAGGUGGGACGAUGUGGAGGCUUUGAGAGAUGAAAUGAAGAUCAAAGGGAUUGAAAACAAAGCUGGGUGUAGUUCACUACAAACUACGGGUUCUCAAGGCUUGGUGGAGGCUUUAUUAUAGAUGCUUGAACUCCCUCGGAUGCGCUUCUGAAGAUGCUCCAAGCUUGCCACUCGCCGCAAGGAAGCUGUUCUUGCCAUCUUGUUCCUCGGUACGGUUGCCAUUUCCAGAGAAUUCUUCUGAAUAUUUGCAGAAGAAAUGUCUGCAAUAUGACUGUUAUGUGCAUCUGUUGAUAUCUCUGAAGGGCUUCCCUCAAAUGAUUGGAUGCUAAUUGAGGAUACUUCCGACAUGGCAUGGAACAUAGAUUUUGUACCAGUGAUUCGCUUUACGGUUUCUUCAGCCAUUUGUACCUGAAAAUGGAAUCAUUGGCAAUGUCAUAUCAAGAGAGAAGUUAGAACAAACGAAGAUCAAGCUUUAGUUUUAUAUUGCUGUCUCAACUCCCUCAAAUCAAAAUCAGCCAUCGACUUACCUUAGCUCUCAAAGUUUCAAGGAUCCAUUUGCUCAUUCAUAUCAUUUUCUCCUUCAACAUCAUCUUCUUCAUCAGUUUGCUCUCUGGAGGAUGAUAUGUUUGCUGAGCUGACUUGAAUUCCAUCCCUCUUUUGUACACAAGUAUACGAUGGAGUAGGGCAAACCUUUUGAAGGGGAUUGGGAUGGCAAGUGUGACAUAUUUUGAGCUAGAGUGGAACUUGCACAAGAAUCUCGACUCUUCCUAAAAGAUCCCUGUUGUGACAUGAAUCCGUAAGAACGAUCAUUAGUUGAACUAAUGUAAUGUUUGUACGAUUAGAAGUUUGAUCUUUCUAUCAUAUGUUAAAUAAAAUAAAGCUACUUUGUAACCAUUAUGUAUGUAUAAACACAAUUUAGUUGUAAUCUAAACUCGUCACUUGAAUGAAGCAUCAAUACCAAGCAACAACUAAACGAGGAUAUUCCAAUAAAA
Cucumis sativus (cucumber) is the source of this 2406-nucleotide RNA transcript. It is a transcript of the gene named pentatricopeptide repeat-containing protein At3g18970, with no coding region annotated. Lineage: Eukaryota; Viridiplantae; Streptophyta; Magnoliopsida; Cucurbitales; Cucurbitaceae. The record is from RefSeq and is a predicted model, not a curated record. The transcript has 4 exons.